This 77-nucleotide transfer RNA is filed under the name Actinomycetes bacterium. Its description in RNAcentral is "tRNA-Ile". It matches the Rfam family "tRNA". From Rfam's summary of the family: Transfer RNA (tRNA) molecules are approximately 80 nucleotides in length. Their secondary structure includes four short double-helical elements and three loops (D, anti-codon, and T loops). Lineage: Bacteria; Bacillati; Actinomycetota; Actinomycetes. RNAcentral also lists the same sequence under 2 other names. The record is from RNAcentral.
GGGCCCGUAGCUCAGUUGGUUAGAGCGCACGGCUGAUAACCGUGAGGUCACUGGUUCGAAUCCAGUCGGGCCCACCA